RNAcentral lists this small RNA (556 nucleotides) under Pan troglodytes (chimpanzee). Its description in RNAcentral is "retained intron". The record is from RNAcentral. Lineage: Eukaryota; Metazoa; Chordata; Mammalia; Primates; Hominidae.
GAGCCACCCUUACUUCAGAAGAACGGCAUGGGGUGGGGGGGCCUUAGGCGGUGCCCGCCUCACCUAUGACUGCCAAAAGCGGUCAUGGGGUUAUUUUUAAACAUGGGGAGGAAGUAUUUAUUGUUCCCGGGCUGCGGAGAGCUGGGCGGAGUGUGGAAUUCUUCUCGGGAGGCAGUGCUGGGUCCUUUCCACCAUGGCACCUAAGAAAGCAAAGAAGAGAGUCGGGGGCGCCAACUCCAACGUGUUCUCCAUGUUCGAACAGACCCAAAUCCAGGAAUUUAAGGAGGUGGGUGCAGCUAUUGAAUCAUCCGCCUGGAUGGAAAUCCUUGAGGGAGAACCUUCUUUUUGUUCCAUAUUCCCAGCAGGGACCUUUCAUUAGAUGCCUCUAUCCUCCAAACAAUCCCAAAUUCGGCCUGAACGGAUGUGUGAAUUUUUAAAAGAAACUAUUUUUAAUAUUUUCACUGAUUAUCAAAGUAAAACAUAUUCCUUGUUGAAAAAUGUCGGAAAAUUUUUCAGAAAAGCACAAAAAAGGAAAUAAAAACUACCUACAAUUCUA